GGAGUAAAAGUCGUAACAAGGUCUCCGUUGGUGAACCAGUGGAGGGAUCAUUACCGAGUUUACAACUCCCAAACCCCAUGUGAACCUUACCAAACGUUGCUUCGGCGGGAUGCCCCGGGCGCGGGCCGCAAGGCCUCAGCCCCGGAACCAGGCGCCCGCCGGAGGCCCAAACCAAACUCUUGUUUUUGUAGAAUCUUCUGAGUGGCCUUUUAGGCAAAAAAUGAAUCAAAACUUUCAACAACGGAUCUCUUGGUUCUG
RNAcentral lists this unclassified non-coding RNA (258 nucleotides) under plant metagenome. RNAcentral's name for it is "partial contains small subunit ribosomal RNA, internal transcribed spacer 1, and 5.8S ribosomal RNA". The stretch from base 1 to 53 matches the Rfam family "Eukaryotic small subunit ribosomal RNA", at positions 1779 to 1831 of the family's 1831-position model. The record is from RNAcentral.